GGACGGAUGGCGUAACCGUAGCAAAACUUAUGCGUUUUCAAACUAAAACGCACUAGUGUAAACGGGGCCUGAGUCCUUCUGG
RNAcentral lists this microRNA precursor (82 nucleotides) under Ictalurus punctatus (channel catfish). Its description in RNAcentral is "microRNA ipu-mir-7551 precursor". Lineage: Eukaryota; Metazoa; Chordata; Actinopteri; Siluriformes; Ictaluridae. The record is from miRBase by way of RNAcentral.